Long non-coding RNA from Triticum aestivum (bread wheat), 3054 nucleotides. RefSeq lists it as uncharacterized. Lineage: Eukaryota; Viridiplantae; Streptophyta; Magnoliopsida; Poales; Poaceae. The transcript has 3 exons. The record is from RefSeq and is a predicted model, not a curated record.
CAUCAGGUGUAGGAGAUUCAGAUUUUGUAUCCUCUGAAUCAUGCGUGGAACACAAGGUCCUUUGAUUAUUGCUUCUCACUACAGAUCAUAGUUGGUUUCAGCAGCCUUUGGCGUAAUGUUGCCAGGUAUCUGAGUCCAUUGUCAGCUGCUCCUUUGACAGGGUAGUUGGCUUUGGACUUUAUGAACGGGGUUUUCCAUCGAUAUGAUUUGAGCAUUUUGUCUGCACUGGAUAUUUGUGUACGCAUACAUACUCCUUAUGCUUGAACUACAAAUACGCAGAGUGCCUACUGAGGUUACAGAACUGGAUAGAAGUUCAUUAUGAUAGUUCAUACAGAGAGUUCAUUAUGAGAGUUCAUACAGAGAGCAUCAGGUACUUGUUUUUGCUUAAUAUUACUACCGAACUGUUCACACGGAGUGUAGUUUAGAAAUUUGAUAUCCCAUAUUUGUUCUGUUGUGAAGAUGGUGUUUGCUAUUUCUUGGUACAAAAAAAUUUCCUCAACUAAUCUUUCAGUACAAGGAGAGUAGGUGACACACUGACACUUCAGAAUAUUGACAUCGUUACUGAAGUUUGGUAGUGCUGUUUUCAUGUUUUUUUUAGAGUCAAUUACACUAGUGGUGCUACAACUUGGCAUAAACGAUCACUUUGGUGCUAGAAGUUGCGGGGUACAUUGAAGUGGUGCAAAAACUUGACAUUGGCAUGCAAAUACAAUGCUUAUCUCGUUUGUAUACGUAGUCAUUGUUGACUAGGCAUAUGGGGCCUGCUGUCAGCCACUAGACCAGAGAGAAGGGGCUUAUGGCCUGAUUUUUUUGAAAAACACCCUCGAGAUAAAAAUUUCACAAAAGAGCCCCUGUUGACAUUGUAGAGGUGGCCUUUUUCUCACCGACCAGUGGGUCCCGCCUGUCAUCAGAGAUUGAAAAUUAAACUAAAUUAAAACUAAGGAUGGCAGGUAUCGAACCCUAGAACAAAUCUGUUAAACCAAUACAGCUAACCAACACACCUUUACGUUGGCUUGUUUAGCACGGGUAACAAGCUUGUAUAUAUAUUAACUUUUUUUUUGAGGGGGUAUAUAUAUUAACUUGGCUGCAUGCGGAGCUUAUAUGGGCCGCAGAUAGUUCGGCCCAUUAUGCACCUGUUCUUUUUUUAAAAAUAUUUGUAAAAUGUAAUUAAUAAAAAUUAUAUGUAUGAUACACAGACGUGGGAGAGGUAGCAUUUAAAUAUACAUCCGUGUAUGAUAUAAAAAGUAUUUAGUUAAUACAGACAUUUAAUAAAAAUUAAAAUGUUUAAUGAAUACAUAAUAUUACACAAUCGAGUCUUAUAUUUAAAAUAUACAAUUUUUUAAUAUAAUUAUUGAAAAAUGUUGAAUAACUAAAAUAAUAUUUUGAAAUUGUAAUUUAUCUUUUUAUUAUAAAUUAUGCAAACAUUUAUAUAAUUAGUAAAUUAUUAUUAUGAGUAUUUUAACUUAAUAGGUGAACAAUGUUUUAAAAUAAUUUAUUAUUUUUAUUACUGAGAUUAUAAUUUGGAAUUUUAAGGCAAAUAUAAUUUAGAUACUUUCUACAGUUAUUUUUAACUAAUAGGUGCCAACUGGGCCGGAAGAUCUGCAGCCCAUUUAACCUCCUCCAGCACCGAGGUCAAAUACAUAAAAUGUUGUUAUCCGGUUUGUGCCGAUAGAACAUUAUGUUUGGAGUGGUUUGCCGGCUCCAGUUCCUGGUUGAGGUGUUGUGUUCGAGACUUGGCGCUGCAAUUGUCUUUUAGUUUUCGCCUCUUAGGUUACAGGCGGACCCACUUCUCAUAUUGAGUUUACAAAAUUUCCACGUCAAUUGGUAUUUUUUUAAAGAAAAUAAUAUUUCAAGGAUGUUUUUGAAAAAAUCAGCCCACACGUCCCUUUUCUCUGGUCAAGUGUUCUCCCAGUAUUUGAAAAAAGAACUUCAGCCUCUCUCUGAACUAGGAACCGAUGGAUAGUUAUCAACAAAAAUAUGGACUAUAGUACAGAUUAAAGAAUUGAUGGAAGAACCAGUUGCUGGUUCCAGCUCAUGACAAAUCAUAUAUAUCAAGUUUCCUCGUUUAGCUACAGAAUACUGAUAGGGAAAUGCAUAUGUACAGUAACUUUUUUUAGACAAAAUAUAGUAACUACAAAGUAGACGAGUCUUUUCCUUGCCAACCCAUCUCUCUCCAUUGUUCAGAUAUUAUUCCCAGAAGCUCAGUUCCAGGAAAGGAAGCACACCAUAGGGCCUUCAGUUCGUCCUGAUAGAGUAAAAAAUAAGAUGACACCUAAUUAAUUAGAUCCAAUUUAUGAAGUGACAUCUUGUAUCAAAGCUUGCAAAAAAUAGCACAUCAACUUGAUUAAGAAAAAGAGUCAAUUACAUUGUUGGUGCUACAACUUGGCAUAAACGGUCACUUUGGUGCUAGAAGUUGUGGCGUACAUCGAAGUGGUGCAAAAACUUGGCAUUGACGUGCAAAUACGGUGUUUAUCUCGUUUAUAUACGGAGUCGGUGCUGACCAGACGCAUGGGGCCAGCUGUCAGCGACUAGACCAGAGAAAAGGGACGUGUGGGCUGAUUUUUUCAAAAACACCCUCGAAAUAUUAUUUUCUUUUAAAAAAUACCAAUUGACAUGGAAAUUUUGUAACCUCAAUAUGAGAAGUGGGUCCGCCUGUAACGUAAGAGGCGAAAACUAAAAGACAAUUGCACGUCAAUGCCAAGUUUUUGCACCACUUCGAUGUACGCCACAACUUCUAGCACCAAAGUGACCGUUUAUGCCAAGUUGUAGCACCAAUAGUGUAAUUGACUCUUUUUUUUAAUCAAGUUGGUGUGCUAUUUUUUGCAAGCUUUGAUACAAGAUGCCACUUCAUAAAUUGGAUCUAAUUAAUUAGGUAUCAUCUUAUUUUUUGCCCUAUGGUGUGCUUCCUUUCCUGGAACUGAGCUUCUGGUUAUAAUAUCUGAAUAAUGGAGAGAGAUGGAUUGGCAAGGAAAAGACUCGUCUACUUUGCAGUUACUAUAUUUUGUCUAAAAAAAGUUAUUGUACAUAUGCAUUUCCCUAUCAGUAUUUUGUAGCUAA